Non-coding RNA from Rattus norvegicus (Norway rat), 9577 nucleotides. Lineage: Eukaryota; Metazoa; Chordata; Mammalia; Rodentia; Muridae. The record is from RefSeq and is a predicted model, not a curated record.
AGACUUUUACUGCACAACCAACUGAAAUGGUCAUUAAGCAUUUUUAAUGGUGUGAGAAAGUGCUUACAAUAAAGUGCUGGGAAUGAGAGCAGAAAUGAAAACACAGUUCAAAAUGGUGACUUGCCCGGGCCUCUAAAACUGGGAAAAAUCCCAGCGGGAGGAUGCCACAGAAGCGUAAAGCAUGUGCCUGCUAGGGUAGAAGGGUCCUGCAACUCUAAUCUAAAACAGGCAAGCAAAGACUUAUGUGCAAGUUUGGAUCGACCGUUGCUUCCCAAACAACCGGAAACACUGGGUAUAAACAAUUUCAAAUCCUGAAAUCAUGUCGAAGUUGCAGUGCUGAAGAGUUGCCAGGUCAAUGUGAGGGUGGUACCCUGGGGGGUUAAAGCUCCUGGCUGCAGUCUAGUUGUGAUGCUGAACUUGAUCUUUGAGGCACUUGCUUGGUGAUAGAGGGUGAAUUCAAGAAGAGGAUGUUCUCCAGAAAAAAGCAACAUUCCUAAGUCUCAAGUCUCAGGUAAAGAAGCUUGGAAAGAAUGAUGUUAAGAAACAGAAGCACCAUGACUUGAACCCAGUCAACUGUGAAGAACAAAUAUCAGGGACAGAUAAUCACAGAAAGACUCCUCAAUUAGACUGAGAAAAGCUCCAGCCCCAUUUUACUGCACUUACAGAUCUGCUAUUGGACAAUAAUACCGUUCAGUGCGAAAAAGAAGUUCCAUUUGGCUCAGAUGCUGCUGUUUCUUUUUCCUCGUGUGUGUGUGUGUGUGUGUGUGUGUGUGUGUGUGUGUGUGUGUUUCCCCAUUUUAUAUUGUGAGUAGCCUUAUAGAGAAGUCUACACAGAAAAGAAAUUAAAGUCUUUAAACAAUUUUCAAGGAGGAAUGAUGACCUAUCAGCCAAGUGCAUGAGUGGGCUUUGAAAUAGAUUGAUCAGGACGUAUGUAGAGAUGGCUACAACCUUGACAAACAGCUUAUCUAUAACCUUGAGAGGGACCUGGAAGCAAAAUUCCCUAGAUAAAUUUCUAUGAGUUAUGUUUUUUUUAGAAAGUAAUACAUUUAUUUUCAUUUAUGUGUGUAUGUGUCUUUGUGAAUGUAUGUCACGUAUGUCCAGGUUCCCAUGGAAACUAGGAAAGGGCACUGGAUCCUACAAAGUUAGAUUUACAGUCAGAUGUGAGCCAUCCAGUAUAGGUACUGAGAAUGGAAGACUGCUCCUCUGUAAAGGUAGGAUGGGCUCUUAGAUGCAAAGAAGGAAGAAACAGACAAGGGAGGAGGUGAAGGAGAGAGAAAGGGUCUGGGGAGAGGCAUAUACAGAGAGUAUGAUUCACUAAAAAUGGAAGUCACCAUCUUUUAUUAAAUAAUUUUGAAGUAAUCUGUCAUUCGUUGCUUCUUAUACAGACGGACCAUAUCACUGUGUUUGUAUACACCAGAGAAUACAGUUAUUACAAGGAUUUUUUCUUCUCCGUAGCAUUAUUGAACAUUUAAUGGUUUUCCAUUAAUUGUUUUGCUAUCAAAUCCAAAAUUUAGGAAGCUCUUACACAAAAUUUCUGACACACACUUUUUAGUCAUUUGCCUGAUUUAUAUUUGUGAUCUUUCAGUAUAUCACCACUCCUUUGUGACAUUUUCAUAUGUCCUCUUAUCUGAACACAUAUAAGGAAGUGAGUGGUUAAGCAGCAUUCUUGUAGUUCUCUUUGUCAAAGGGAUUGUUCUGGUUAAAGGGAAGACAAAUAAUUGGGUCAAAUUCCAUUGCAGGUGUGUUAAUGGACAACCCCUGAAAUCAGAAGUCUGCCUGGUUAGGAGUAUUCAUGGUAAGGAAGUCUGGUGUAGGGGGCACAUGAGCUUUGAAACUUUCUGACUCUGUGAAAUAAAUAUUUCUUGCCAACUGCACAAGUAGGUACUCAAAUUUAAUAUUCAGUUUGAUUAAGUAUUUUUCCCCUCCAGAGGCACUUCAUAAGUGAGUGGGUUUGUAUGUCAGAUUGUACAAGAGAUAUGUUUAUUCCUCCAUUGGUCACAUCAACUGUCAUUGACAAUUAGAAUGGCUAAUUCCUUGGACUUAGACAGUGGUAGAAUUUGCUUAUUCUUGAACUUACUAUCUGAAGUUCUUUUAUAAAUAGAAAAUUGUCUUUCUUUUCUGUUUGGUGACAAGUUAGUAUAGAUCUUAUAAAAAGCCAGGGAUAGCUGUUUUAACUUCCAUUUAUUGACUAUGUUUCAAAUCUCUCAUAGCUGAUCAAUUUUUGUUAUUAUUGCUAUCAUAAUAUAUAAUAUAUAAUAUUUAAAUAAUUUAAAAACUUUUAAUUCAUUGGAGUUAUUACUCUUAUUGAUGUUGGAAUUGUACCAUAUGUGGUAACCUCAUUAUACUCUUGAUCCCUUUAGGAACGAAGUAAUACUUUUCAACAUUUUCAUUCUCACAUUUGUCAAGACUCAUCUUGCUCACUUCUGCUGCAGACUGGAACUCUGCUAUUUAUUGCAUACUCCUGGUUUCCCAUGGAUGAAAAUGUUGUUUAGAUGUUUAUUUUAUUUUUAAUUAUAUGCAUUUGUGUAUGUGGGCCUACAUGUGGCUAUGUACACAUGCAUGUAGGUGCCUGAAGUGACCUGAUGAGGUGAUCAGAUUCCUCUGUAGCUGUAGUUAGAGUUAUAGUAACUGUGAGCUACUUCAAAUGAGUAGUAGGAACUAAACUCAGGUCCUCUGCAAGAGCAGUGUACACUCUCCCCAUCCUUCCAGCCCUGAGGACGCUGUUGAGAAGUCACAUUCUGAAUGCUGAAGCGCUGGAGGGUUUUCCCACAGCACUGUCUAUAAACUCAAUGUUCAAACUUUUGCGUAAGCUUUGAAACACGUUUAAUAAGUAACGCCUAACUGUGACUUGAGGAUUUUCUUUCACAAGCUUAGGGAUUGCUUCACACAUAUACGUGUAGUAGGCACUCAGAAAAUGGCAUUGACACCUCCCAUGGGCCCACAAGGUUGCUAAAAGCUGAAAAACAAAACAAAACAAAACUCUAGCAUCUUUGGCUUCGGUUUGUGUGUGUGUCUCCUUCACUUUGGAUUGCACUCUUGGUUAACUCAGCAAAGGCAAAAUAGUCACUGAAUUAGUAUGUAUCAUCGGACCACUUACUAGUGUCUACCUAACUCAUAUCACACCCCUUUAAGGAUAAAGGCAAAAGGACCUCAUUGUCUAAAAUCUGAAGUCACCUUUGAUUUGAUUCCAGGAACAAUCAAGCCUUGUAGUACAGGAUCCCUACCCAGUCCUGUUGAAGACAGGUAUCUGUGAUGCAACACAGACCUCAUCUUGGAGGAAGUAGAUUUGCCCUUUCGGGCGGUGACUUCUCUGACAACUUCUUACUGCAUCCUGCAGAGCCAGAGCUCAGCCAAUAAUUGGUGGGACCACAUCUUGACCAUGACUGCUUAGUUAUACUAAUCUCCUAUCUCUUUCACCACAAUUUUUCUUUCAGUGUGUGUGUGUGUGUGUGUGUGUGUGUGUGUGUGUGUGUGUGUUCAUGUGUAUAGGAGGAUGCAUGUUCCUAUAAGCAUACACAGGGGCAAUAGGAGAACAUAAUAUGUCCUGAUCUAUCACCUAUUCUCUUCAGCCACAGUGUUUUACUGAACUUGCAGCUAGACUGGCAACCGGCAUGCUUCAACCAUCUCCUAUCUCUACUCCUCACAGUACUGGGAUGAUAGCCACAGGGGCAUGACUUACUGUUUAUGUAGGUGCUAGGGAUUUGAACUCAUUUCCUUAUGCCUGUGCACCGAAUGCUUCUUAUCUAGAGAGCCAUCUCCAUAGCUUCCAAUAACCAUCUCUUAAUUGGCAAUUUGGGAUAGGCAGCUAAGCCUAGCUUGUUGGAACGGGUAGAGCUGGGAUUUGUGCUGUAAAACGGUGGUUACAUAAGGGCUAUUACCUUUUCCUGUUCAACAUUGUUCUUAAAAUAACAUUGCUUCUCCCUGGUUUCAGAAGCUUUUUUUGACAGUGCUCAAAGAAUGAUCUAGGGAUCUCUGGGGCUCCUCAAGACUAUUUCAGGGAGUGUGGAGAGUGUAAAACAUUUUCUGUGGUGAUAGCAUAGUCUUUGCCUCUUUGCUGUCAUUAUCUCAUGAACGCCCAGUGGAAUUUUCCACAGGCUGCAGGAGGUGUGAGAUCGAUGCAGAUCCAGUGCAGCAACAGCUGUCUUUUUAUUAACACAGACAUUAAAAAAAAAACCAUCACAAAUAUAAAGCAAUACAAAUCUUCCCAUUAACACUUUUGUUUCAAUUCUUUGUGUAAUUAAAUUUCCCAGUCUUUUGUUAAGUCCCAUUGAAGAACAUUAGAAUUCUUGCCCAUAACACUAGAUACAAAAGGAUAAAGAAAGGAAAAAAAAAACAACUGAAUUAGUGUCAUACAUCCAGCUAACCCAUGAGGGCAUACAAGAAAAUAUAUUUCAGGACUUGCGGAAACAGAAGAAUGUUAAUAUGAAAGAUCCUACUGAAGCUGCUUCUACGUGGAUAAAAGAGUGAAGGGGAAGGAAGUUCGUACUUCACCAUCACUACCCUGGGCAACUUGAAGUUACAGAGCAUAGCCUAGAGUUCAGGGAAGCUGUAGUAUAUCCAAUAAUUGGGGAGAGGACCAUGGUGAGAACUGUCACCUCUAGCCAAUAGCAAUGUUGAUGCAUUAUCUUGAAGUGGAGCCUUUAGCUUCAAUCAACUCUAAAGGUGACUGGGAUGACAGGAUGACAUUUUGACUAUGACCUCCAAAGACCCCACGCAUGAACAAGCUGCUUCUGAAUUUCUGUUCUUCAGAAACUGUGAAGAAAUAGGUGUUAAGACUGCAGAAUCUUUGGAUAAUUUGUUAUGAGGCCAAUUGAAAUGCGAACUCAAAGGAUACUAUACUAUGAUGUAUGUAAAAGAAAGGAGAAGCAGAACAUUGAAUGCAAGAUACAGUUAAAGAUGACUAUCAUGCAGCUUUCCUGAAGUCCUCGAGAAUGUGUUGUCAGAAGAAAUUGGUGGAAGGCAGGUUUUUUUUUUCUUUUUUUUCUUUUUUUUGAUUUUGAGACAGGGAAUACUGAAGGCGGCAAGGUUUAAAGCAGCAGUGAAUGAGAUGGAGAAGUCGAGGAUUGAAGAAAUGAAAGGGACAGGGAGAUGGAUGGAAAACAAAAGGAGAGUUACAGCUUUGUACACAUUUGAAGAAAAGAAAAGAUACAAGAAGAGACAGCCUGCCCGGACAGAUAAUUCUAUUCCUAGGAGUAGUGGGUCACUAAACAAGUCCCCAGUGCUAGACUCUUGUGUACAGAGAAUACCUUGUGUAUUGUACAGAUGUACAUCACCUGUCAAUGAAAGUGUCUAGUGACCCUCCACACUCCAAGUCUAUCAUGAAGUUCUGACAUGGAGCUUAGAUUUAAAUAGCAGGUGAGAAGAAUGCUCAACUAAAUAGAUAUGGCCAAGGUGUGACCCUUGUGGCCAAGGCGUAGCCCCAGUCAUUGAGUCAUCAUUGUCUAGGUUCCAAUUUCUCGUGAGGACAUCUGCAACAAUUUUAUAACUUUAGCUUUGUCCUUUGCCUAGCAUAAUUUCAGGGGAAAUUGUUAUUUCUUUUUUUUAAAUUAUUUAUUCUUUUCUUUUAAACAAUCUAGACUUUAUCCCCUCUUGGUCCACCUUCCAUGGAAAUUUUUAUUUCUUUGUGACCAUUUUUCAUAUGUUUGAUGACAAUAGAAAAGCACACACAUUAAAGUAUCUCUCUUUUUUAAAAGUUAUUUAUUGUAUAUAAGUACACUGUAACUGUCUUCAGACACACCAGAAAAGGGCAUUGGAUCUCAUUACAGAAGGUUGUGAGCCACCAUGUGGUUGCCGGGAAUUGAACUCAGGACCUCUGGAAGAGCAGUCAGUGCUCUUAACCGCAGAGCCAUCUCUCCAGCCCCAAGUAUCUCUCUUAAAGUAUCUUUCCUCUUGCCUAAAUAGUGACAACAGAUUCUGAAAAAGUGAUUUCUUACUCUUACUCAGGAUAGAAUGUGCCAGGAGGAGGUGAUCGCUACAGAACUUCACAGAAAGGACAUGGCAGAAACAAACAUCAAUUCUGAAGCCAAAUACUGAGUGGUGUAGCUGUUAAGAAAUGCUGCACACCUCAGUUAUAAGUCUGUUGUCUCUUACUAGCUCUUUCCUGGUGACAUUGCAGACAGAUAAAGCCAGCAGAAACCUGCAAUCCACUCACCUGCCAGAAUGCUAGUGUUAUCAACACAAUGAAGCUAUCUGUCCUUAGAACCCAGGCAGAGAUCCACCACUUUUCUAUACCUGGGGGUUGGGGAGCAGUUUCUCAUGUCUUGAGAGAGCAAUGGGAAACCCAGAAUUUUUGAGACAGGAACACCUAAGAGGUCCAGGUGCUCAAGGUCAGAUGAAGGCUGAGGCAACACCUGGAAUACAUCUUUGAAAACACAAGGAACUAAGCGUCUGUCAGCCACCAGCCCAGACUGUUAGUUAGGGACCAUAUAGUGUGUGUGGUGCAGGCAGACAGGAACUGCCAUAGAAUUGGAAUAGUGAGAAAAGUCUCCCUAGUCCUCACGAUGCACUGGACAGCAACAGCUCACUGCUGGACCGGUUCAUACCUGCAGAGCCUUGCCGGUAACCUAGCAACCAAAAACAUUCAAUUCUGCUCUGGCAGUCGCCAGACCUGGUUCAAGCCCUAUAUCCCAUCCUCAUAGGCAGGCCAACAGAAGUGACUCAAAUGAAAUCCUCGUUAAGGAAUAGUAAAGAAAAAGGACACGGGGCCAUCUCCAGAGUGCUGGUUUGGAAUCAAAGAAUUUAAGAUCAUUAUUUGAAACUGUAUCCCUUGCCUUUGUGAUAAAUAUGUUUGUUGUGGGAUUAUUCCCUGAUUUCUUAGAGUUGUUAAUAUAUGAAGGAGUGGUGUGAGAUAGCUUUUCUGUGCCUAGAGCUUUUAAAAAAUGGGUAGAGAAACUUGGAAGUUUCCCAAGGAAACAGAGCUCAGAAGAAUGAGUUGCCUACCGGAAGAGCUUGGAAAGUUUUACUGCUUAAGGAAAGAUCGAUUUUCUACCAAAGAAGUCUUCACUUACAGCACCCUUGCCUGGGGUUUUUAUGAUGCAGACAAACUUAUCCCAUACAGAGGAUAUAGCCAUAGUUCUUUGUAUAGUCAUUUCCCUUUAUUAGGCUGCCCCCCGACUAUUGCAACCACUUCUGGCUUUGUUUCCCUUAAAAGUUUGACAGGAGAUCAAACUCAGUUUAUGAGGGAUUAAGACCAAGGUGAGGGGAGGCUGUGGAUAUUUUAUAUUAAAGAGAGACAGGAAAAAUAAUCCUCUAAUGUAUUGUGUUUGGGUAAAACACGAGGCUGUUCAACUUUUUUAUCUCGGUGACUUAUCAUUUUCUAUGGGUCAAUGACUGCUUGCAGAAAAGAGCAAAUCCAUAUUCCCCAAUGGAAAAGUUCUGAUCUGAAUAUGAGAAUGACACUGGUGUGCGCUGAGUUUUGGGUCUCCAGUUUACAGUUGGUAUUUCCACGUGAAGACGGAGCAGCUACCAAUUCAAACCACAGCUCCUGAUACAGCCCAACGGCAUAAUGAAGAUGCGGUGGUGACGCCCGGUACUCCUCACUGCCCAGCCUUGCCACCCAUUCUUCCUGUUAAGUUUCAUUCUAGAUAUUCUGAUGAGGAUUUCAUGAUGUGGGAGCAUAAGAGGAAGUCACCUGGCUUCUGUAACAGGCAGCCAGAGGACUGUGGGAAAUCAGGGCAGACGUUUCCUGUCUUCUGAGAAUAUGAUUUUAUCUGGAGAAAAUCCAACCUCAUCAUCGCUAUGGGAGGUGUGAUAUUCUGAUUAGGUUUAGCACGAGGGGAAAAAAAGCUGACAGUUAGACCUUGAGCAUAAUGUAGUAACAAUGAGACUCGCAUUAAAGAGAUAUGGAGUUUCUUGUAUUUAAAUGGGGGAAAUGCAUUAUCUCAUUAAAUUUCGCCAAUGUGGGAUUCAUGCUUUUUUUUUUUUUAUGUAAGCUGUGUGUGAGGUAUUACGUGUGCAUCUUUUUGCUGCAAUUCUUGGGUUAAGUCUUUAUCUGGUAAUAAAGUACUGUUUGAAUUGAUGCUGUAGCUUAAAGAAGCAUAGCCAUCCUGUUAGGAAUGGCAUUUGCUAGACAGAGGGAAAGACCCAAGUACAGAAGGAAGGUGAGAGCCAGCUUGAGUCGGGGUUGGUGAGAAGGUGAAUGUCUGGUUAUUUAUUAGCAUAGCCACAUUUGAUAUAGAAGAGAUGGCAUUUGGGGGUCAUCAGAGGGAUGACUGAAAGUCCUGGUAAGAAUAAGGCAGGGAAGGAAAUGGUCUGGUCCUGGCGGGAAAGGACAAUAAGAAACUACACUACAAAGGAUGGUUCAGGCUGCUGUGGAAUCCAUGUAAGAAGAAGAAUCCUUGGGAGUGGGUGCAUGGGUGGGAGAGCACUCUCAUAGAAGCAUGGGGAGGAGAAUGGGAUAGGGGGUUUGCUGAGGGGAAACCAGGAAAGGGGAUAACAUUUGAAAUGUAAAUAAAUAAAACGUCCAGUAAAAAAAAAUCAAUUUCAAAAUGUGAAGUCUGAAAUAAAAUCUAGGCUGCAGUGUGUUCUGUAUGUAUUCCUAAGGUGAUCGGUGUAGGGUAGGGACUAUGACUUCAGGCAGAAUGCUUGAGUUUAUUUGAUUACCACAGGUUAUAAGAGAUGACAGGAAGUUCUGUGUGUAACCAAGCAGGGACAGCAAGACUGUGUCCCAGAACAUGUAAUCUCUGUGUAAUAAAUACCACUUUGUCUCACAAAUAAGUAGUCUUUCCUUUUCAUAUUUGACUCAUAAUAUUGACUGAAACUUUGCAUAUAUCACAUAUUGAUAAAGGCCAGUGGGUGGAUUCUCAUUGGGUAGUUUUUGAAUAACUUUGUAAUCAAGGUCCCAUUUUGAAGAUCUCUUUUUAUGGCCCUCACUUUGUUCUGCCCCUUGGUCACCUAUCUUUAUUGACAGAGCUUUUUCAGUUGUGCUGGUAGGGAUAAACUUGAAGAUGACAAUUGAAGUUUAUGGUAGAAAAAUGUUUAUUUUUUCCUGGCUCUCUUUGGGUGCUGUUAGAUAUGGAAAACAGAGUCCUGGGAGAGGGUUCCCACAGCCAUCAGAAGCUAGGCUUUUGUUUGCUACUUCAAAUCCCAGGGACUCAAGUUUCUGCAUCACAGACUUUAAAUCUGCAUGCUCUCCAGAUGCCUAUGAUUAAAAUUCAAAACACAUCCAAAUAUCACAUUAGUCAAGAGAGUGUAAUAGUUUUGAAAUAUAAAAAGCAGAUAAAUCAUGUACAUAUGUGUCUUAGGGCUGUGAUAAUAGCUACACUAAUGUUUAUGUCAACUCUCAAAGAAGAACAAAUAGCUUACCUAAUGGUGUGUGAAAAAGCAUCCCCCACUGUGAACUACUGUAGGACUUGUUAAUUCCCAGCACAGGCUACCUGAGGACAAUGGGUCCUGAGCUCUUUGGGAUGAACUAACUGAUCUGUGAUUCUUUUCUAAUGGCAGAAUAACAGUUGCUUAGGAUUUCAUAUACUUUAAUGGUGGCAAAGACCUAUACUUUUAUGUUGAGAAUUCAAAGUCUCCACAAUGAGAUAUCUUGGUAUACAACCUUCAGAAACAAAAGAUCAAUCAUAAGUGUCUA